GACGAACGCUGGCGGCGUGCUUAACACAUGCAAGUCGAACGGAAAGGCCCUGCUUUUGUGGGGUGCUCGAGUGGCGAACGGGUGAGUAACACGUGAGUAACCUGCCCUUGACUUUGGGAUAACUUCAGGAAACUGGGGCUAAUACCGGAUAGGAGCUCCUGCUGCAUGGUGGGGGUGGGAAAGUUUCGGCGGUUGGGGAUGGACUCGCGGCUUAUCAGCUUGUUGGUGGGGUAGUGGCUUACCAAGGCUUUGACGGGUAGCCGGCCUGAGAGGGUGACCGGCCACAUUGGGACUGAGAUACGGCACAGACUCCUACGGGAGGCAGCAGUGGGGAAUAUUGCACAAUGGGCGGAAGCCUGAUGCAGCAACGCCGCGUGCGGGAUGACGGCCUUCGGGUUGUAAACCGCUUUCGCCUGUGACGAAGCGUGAGUGACGGUAAUGGGUAAAGAAGCACCGGCUAACUACGUG
This 468-nucleotide ribosomal RNA is filed under the name uncultured bacterium. RNAcentral describes it as "partial 16S ribosomal RNA". It matches the Rfam family "Bacterial small subunit ribosomal RNA", at positions 28 to 507 of the family's 1533-position model. The record is from RNAcentral.